Molecule: long non-coding RNA, 253 nt
Filed under: Triticum aestivum (bread wheat)
Lineage: Eukaryota; Viridiplantae; Streptophyta; Magnoliopsida; Poales; Poaceae
Description: long non-coding RNA (TAES_LNC018772)
Source: RNAcentral
CACCUGGAUGUCCACGGCCCUGAGGGCCACGCGGUUGAUAUUCAGGUGAAGCACCACCAGGAUGUCCACGGCCCUGAGGGCCGCGCGGUUGAUAUUCAGGUGGAGCACCACCAGGAUGUCCACGGCCCUGAGGGCCGCGCGGUUGAUAUUCAGGUGGAGCACCACCUGGAUGUCCACGGCCCUGAGGGUCGCGCGGUUGAUAUUCAGGUGGCCCACCACCUGGAUGUCCACGGCCCUGAUAGUCGCGCGGUUG